UACAGAGGUGUCAAGCGUUGUUCGGAUUCAUUGGGCGUAAAGGGUGCGUAGGCGGCGCGGUAAGUCGGGUGUGAAAUCUCGGAGCUUAACUCCGAAACUGCAUUCGAUACUGCCGUGCUUGAGGACUGGAGAGGAGACUGGAAUUUACGGUGUAGCGGUGAAAUGCGUAGAUAUCGUAAGGAAGACCAGUGGCGAAGGCGGGUCUCUGGACAGUUCCUGACGCUGAGGCGCGAAAGCGUGGGGAGCAAACAGG
This 253-nucleotide ribosomal RNA is filed under the name uncultured bacterium. Its description in RNAcentral is "partial 16S ribosomal RNA". It matches the Rfam family "Bacterial small subunit ribosomal RNA", at positions 524 to 776 of the family's 1533-position model. The record is from RNAcentral.